CGGCCGUAACAAUAACGGUCCUAAGGUAGCGAAAUUCCUUGUCGGGUAAGUUCCGACCUGCACGAAUGGCGUAACGAUGGCGGCGCUGUCUCCACCCGAGACUCAGUGAAAUUGAAAUCGCUGUGAAGAUGCAGUGUAUCCGCGGCUAGACGGAAAGACCCCGUGAACCUUUACUGUAGCUUUGCACUGGUUCUAACUCUGGUCCGUGAUCCGGAUCGAGGACAGUGUAUGGUGGGCAGUUUGACUGGGGCGGUCUCCUCCUAAAGAGUAACGGAGGAGUACGAAGGUGCGCUCAGACCGGUCGGAAAUCGGUCGCAGAGUAUAAAGGCAAAAGCGCGCUUGACUGCGAGACAGACACGUCGAGCAGGUACGAAAGUAGGUCUUAGUGAUCCGGUGGUUCUGUAUGGAAGGGCCAUCGCUCAACGGAUAAAAGGUACUCCGGGGAUAACAGGCUGAUACCGCCCAAGAGUUCAUAUCGACGGCGGUGUUUGGCACCUCGAUGUCGGCUCAUCACAUCCUGGGGCUGAAGCCGGUCCCAAGGGUAUGGCUGUUCGCCAUUUAAAGUGGUACGCGAGCUGGGUUUAGAACGUCGUGAGACAGUUCGGUCCCUAUCUGCCGUGGACGUUUGAGAUUUGAGAGGGGCUGCUCCUAGUACGAGAGGACCGGAGUGGACGAACCCUGGCAUGCUUGAGGUUCUAACUCUGGUCCGUGAUCCGGAUCGAGGACAGUGUAUGGUGGGCGGU
RNAcentral lists this ribosomal RNA (743 nucleotides) under Brucella melitensis. RNAcentral's name for it is "partial 23S ribosomal RNA". It matches the Rfam family "Bacterial large subunit ribosomal RNA", at positions 1931 to 2754 of the family's 2925-position model. Lineage: Bacteria; Pseudomonadati; Pseudomonadota; Alphaproteobacteria; Hyphomicrobiales; Brucellaceae. The record is from RNAcentral.